RNAcentral lists this ribosomal RNA (460 nucleotides) under uncultured bacterium. RNAcentral's name for it is "partial 16S ribosomal RNA". It matches the Rfam family "Bacterial small subunit ribosomal RNA", at positions 338 to 795 of the family's 1533-position model. The record is from RNAcentral.
CCUACGGGAGGCUGCAGUGAGGAAUAUUGGUCAAUGGACGAGAGUCUGAACCAGCCAAGUAGCGUGAAGGAUGACUGCCCUAUGGGUUGUAAACUUCUUUUAUAUGGGAAUAAAAUGUUCCACGUGUGGGAUUUUGUAUGUACCAUAUGAAUAAGGAUCGGCUAACUCCGUGCCAGCAGCCGCGGUAAUACGGAGGAUCCGAGCGUUAUCCGGAUUUAUUGGGUUUAAAGGGAGCGUAGGUGGAUUGUUAAGUCAGUUGUGAAAGUUUGCGGCUCAACCGUAAAAUUGCAGUUGAAACUGGCAGUCUUGAGUACAGUAGAGGUGGGCGGAAUUCGUGGUGUAGUGGUGAAAUGCUUAGAUAUCACGAAGAACUCCGAUUGCGAAGGCAGUUCACUGAACUGCAACUGACACUGAGGCUCGAAAGUGUGGGUAUCAAACAGGAUUAGAUACCCCAGUAGUC